Long non-coding RNA from Syngnathus typhle (broad-nosed pipefish), 1322 nucleotides. RefSeq lists it as uncharacterized. The transcript has 3 exons. The record is from RefSeq and is a predicted model, not a curated record. Lineage: Eukaryota; Metazoa; Chordata; Actinopteri; Syngnathiformes; Syngnathidae.
UCUAAACUUGAUGUUGUGCAGUGUCCGCUUUUAGUUCCGUCGGGCGGUUGAGAAGACAAAAUGAAGGUGAUAGGCCAAAGCUGUGCGCUAUUAUUGUGGAUGCAUACUUUGACCUUUGUGAAAUGUCAAGAUUGUACAUUUGAAGCAUUUCGGAACAGUCCACUGUUCGAUGCCAGUUUUGACACGACGGGUAUGGAAGACAAGUACCAAAAUAAGCAGCAAGUGAAGCAAUCCGGUGCCCCGUCAUCAACGUGGAAGACAAUGUGGAGGUGAUCGGGGUCCCAGAAGAAGCAAACUUUGGCAAUGUGCUCCUAUUUAGAUGCAAGAACAGCCAUGAAUUCAUGAUUGGUUCCUCUGAGAUGUCCUGUGAUGGAAAUGGAGAGUGGAGCAGCCCGCCUCCAAAAUGUGAAGGUGCGGGUCGGUUCAUUUUCGGGAGGGAGAUCCGGAAAAAUGUUUCCGCAGUGUGAUGAGAGUCCAUGAAUACAAAGAACUUGUCUUAUGAAUGUCAUCAAAACUACAAGCGCGCUGAACCGAGACAAGAAAGAAAUCUCCAUGAGCAGUGUAUGCUCAUGCAAAAAAAGUUCUUAGUCAUGAAAGCAAACCGUGCAUACACGUGAUACUGACUAAAAAAAUCUGUAAGUGUCUUCAAUUGAUCGCCAUCCCGCUCAAAGUUAAUGUUUGUGCCAAGCUGAGAGAAAAUGAAAGGGCCUUUUAAUUGAGACUGUGCUGACGGGUCCAAAGCAGAACGCAGAUGCAUUCCUCCAACAUUAAUUCUCAUUAGGAUGCACUCCUGUGAAUAUAAAAAAAAAAGUUGUAUCCAUCCAUUUUGGAUGCUGCCUUCUUUCAUCACUUGGUUAGCUAAAUGGUUAAAUGGUUUCUUUUCACAAACUCUUGUGUUGUGUAGCUGCAUCACACAUUCUCCAUCGAUGAAUGUUAUCAUUGCCAUCACUGGUGUAAACUGUCUGUAGGCCUCCAUUUUUUGCAUGCGUCUUGGACGGAAGCUCCUAAGGGAUAAGGAAGCGUGCGAUUUCAAUCUGACAGUUAUUUUUCAGUGACCUCUCAGCUGCACUCAUUUGUCCAUAUCAGCAUCCAGUGAGAAAUGAAAGUACAACGUAUGAGCACCUCAAUGGCUGCCUUGCAAAGAUCGUCAUCAUUGAAGGUCAUCUUAAUUUGGAAUGAAAAGAAGUCCAGCACAAUAAAAAAAAACAUGUUUGUCAUUUUCUUCCCCACAUACUGACUCGCGUGUUCCGGCAGCAGCGGCGGACUGAGUAAUAGUUUGGGCAAUAUUAGUUUAUUCAGUGACACAUGCAGUCCAAACAUGC